This 579-nucleotide ribosomal RNA is filed under the name Kurtzmaniella fragi. Its description in RNAcentral is "LSU rRNA". It matches the Rfam family "Eukaryotic large subunit ribosomal RNA", at positions 30 to 631 of the family's 3401-position model. Lineage: Eukaryota; Fungi; Ascomycota; Pichiomycetes; Serinales; Debaryomycetaceae. The record is from RNAcentral.
GAACUUAAGCAUAUCAAUAAGCGGAGGAAAAGAAACCAACAGGGAUUGCCUUAGUAACGGCGAGUGAAGCGGCAAAAGCUCAAAUUUGAAAUCUAGUACUUUCAGUGCUCGAGUUGUAAUUUGAAGAAGGUAACUUUGGUGUUGGCCCUUGUCUAUGUUUCUUGGAACAGGACGUCACAGAGGGUGAGAAUCCCGUGCGAUGAGGAGUCCAACACUAUGUAAAGUGCUUUCGAAGAGUCGAGUUGUUUGGGAAUGCAGCUCUAAGUGGGUGGUAAAUUCCAUCUAAAGCUAAAUAUUGGCGAGAGACCGAUAGCGAACAAGUACAGUGAUGGAAAGAUGAAAAGAACUUUGAAAAGAGAGUGAAAAAGUACGUGAAAUUGUUGAAAGGGAAGGGUUUGAGAUCAGACUUGGUAUUUUGCAAUCCUUUCCUUCUCGGAAAGGUUUCUUAGCAGCUUACCGGGCCAGCAUCGGUUUGGAUGGUAGGAUAAUGACAUUGGAAUGUAGCUCUUCGGAGUGUUAUAGACUUUGUUGAUACUGCCUAUCUAGACCGAGGACUGCGUCUUGACUAGGAUGCCGCCU